AUUGAACGCUGGCGGCAUGCCUUACACAUGCAAGUCGAACGGCAGCACGGGUGCUUGCACCUGGUGGCGAGUGGCGAACGGGUGAGUAAUACAUCGGAACAUGUCCUGUAGUGGGGGAUAGCCCGGCGAAAGCCGGAUUAAUACCGCAUACGAUCUACGGAUGAAAGCGGGGGACCUUCGGGCCCCGCGCUAUAGGGUUGGCCGAUGGCUGAUUAGCUAGUUGGUGGGGUAAAGGCCUACCAAGGCGACGAUCAGUAGCUGGUCUGAGAGGACGACCAGCCACACUGGGACUGAGACACGGCCCAGACUCCUACGGGAGGCAGCAGUGGGGAAUUUUGGACAAUGGGCGAAAGCCUGAUCCAGCAAUGCCGCGUGUGUGAAGAAGGCCUUCGGGUUGUAAAGCACUUUUGUCCGGAAAGAAAUCCUUGGCCCUAAUACGGUCGGGGGAUGACGGUACCGGAAGAAUAAGCACCGGCUAACUACGUG
Molecule: ribosomal RNA, 486 nt
Filed under: uncultured bacterium
Lineage: Bacteria
Description: partial 16S ribosomal RNA
Rfam family: Bacterial small subunit ribosomal RNA
Source: RNAcentral